AUGGUCAACAAUAUCUAAGGCUGCAAAAAAAGGGUUCUCUGGCUGUCCCCAUAGGAGAACCAUUUGAAGAACCCCUUUUGGUUCCAGGAAAACAGCUGCAGUGCAGCAAGGCAGUUUGAUGGCACUGGGUCUGACUCCCAUCAUGGUAUUACAGUCACAUGGUAUCACUCUGCACAAAACCAAUAUCAGCAUCAACAGCACUUUGGCUAUACCGUAAACCAUUCUCUCUGCAACUCCUCUGAUUCCUCACGAGGCCAAGACUAACACACACACACUCUACUCUACUCUACUCUGGAGUGGCACAUUUGGAGUGGCUGACCAGCGAGGAGCAGAGAA
This is a long non-coding RNA of Oncorhynchus tshawytscha (Chinook salmon), 336 nucleotides long. The record is from Ensembl. Lineage: Eukaryota; Metazoa; Chordata; Actinopteri; Salmoniformes; Salmonidae.